CCUGGCGGCACUAGCGCGGUGGUCCCACCUGAGUCCCACCCCGAUGCCGAACUCAGAAGUGAAACGCCGUAGCGCCGAUGGUAGUGUGGGGUCUCCCCAUGUGAGAGUAGGGAACUGCCAGGC
Molecule: ribosomal RNA, 123 nt
Filed under: Klebsiella pneumoniae
Lineage: Bacteria; Pseudomonadati; Pseudomonadota; Gammaproteobacteria; Enterobacterales; Enterobacteriaceae
Source: RNAcentral